Molecule: long non-coding RNA, 268 nt
Filed under: Carica papaya (papaya)
Lineage: Eukaryota; Viridiplantae; Streptophyta; Magnoliopsida; Brassicales; Caricaceae
Description: long non-coding RNA (CPAP_LNC012955)
Source: RNAcentral
GAAAGAAAAAUUAAAAAUCGAAUGUCAAAAUACAAUUUAGAAAAAUUACACCACGUCAGAUACCCGAUCAGCAGCUCCCAACCAACCAGGACGCGCUAGGUGGCAGAGGCACUGAUGCGGGAGGCCAUGCGGGGGGGGCCACAUGGGCGAUCCGCGUGCGUGCAAUCAAACGACUGAGGUCCAUUCCCGCGUGUACGGACGAGCCAGAUUGGAAGCGCGCAUAGACGAUCCAGAUUGAAUCGCGCACGGACGACCAAGAUUGAAUCGC